Molecule: ribosomal RNA, 382 nt
Filed under: uncultured bacterium
Lineage: Bacteria
Description: bacterial SSU rRNA
Rfam family: Bacterial small subunit ribosomal RNA
Source: RNAcentral
GACGAACGCUGGCGGCGUGCUUAACACAUGCAAGUCGAGCGGUAAGGCCCUUUCGGGGGUACACGAGCGGCGAACGGGUGAGUAACACGUGGGUGACCUGCCCUUAGCUCUGGGAUAAGCCUGGGAAACUGGGUCUAAUACCGGAUAUGACUCCAUGACGCAUGUUGUGGGGUGGAAAGCCUUGUGCGGCUAGGGAUGGGCCCGCGGCCUAUCAGCUUGUUGGUGGGGCGAGGCCUACCAAGGCGACGACGGGUAGCCGGCCUGAUAGGGCGACCGGCCACACUGGGACUGAGACACGGGCCCAGACUCCUACGGGAGGCAGCAGUGGGGAAUCUUGCGCAAUGGGCGAAAGCCUGACGCAGCGACGCCGCGUGAGGGAUGA